This 474-nucleotide ribosomal RNA is filed under the name uncultured prokaryote. RNAcentral's name for it is "bacterial SSU rRNA". It matches the Rfam family "Bacterial small subunit ribosomal RNA", at positions 415 to 905 of the family's 1533-position model. The record is from RNAcentral.
UCUUGAAACUGUAAACACCUUUCAGACGGGCACGAUUAUGACAGUACCUCACCCACAAGUCACCGCUAACUACAUGCCAACACCCCCGGUAAUACGUAGGGGGCAAGCGUUAUCCGGAAUCACUGGGUGUAAAGGGUGUGUAGGCGGUUUUGUAAGUCAGGUGUGAAAUCCCCAGGCUCAACUUGGGGAUCGCAUUUGAAACUGCAUAACUUGAGUGCAGGAGAGGUGAGUGGAAUUCCUGGUGUAGCGGUGAUAUGCGUAGAUAUCAUGAGGAACACCAAUGGCGAAGGCAACUCACUGGGCUGUACCUGACGCUGAGGCACGAAAGCGUGGGGAGCGAACAGGAUUAGAUACCCUGGUAGUCCACGCCGUAAACGAUGCCUACUAGGUGUCGGGUCUUUUAAGCUCCGUGUCGCCAAUAUCACAUCUAACAUUCCCCCCCCGGGGGACACGCGCGCCUAUUAAAAACUCAAA